AGAAGGACUACAAUCAGCCCAUAUAUUUAAAUCUGCAGAAAGUAAGUUAGACUGGUAGGCCAUGAUUAGCCAAACUGAACAGCAUUCAGAAUAAGAUCUAAGCCUGAUAAUCCUGGAGGACUUUUCACCCCCCACCUAUCUUGUGAUUUAUUCAGAGCAACCUCAUCCAGAAUGUCUUCAAGAACCUGGUGCCAGGUGCUGCCUUCCCAGAGUUCCUGCAUGCAGCAGAAGAAGCUCCUUCUCUGUCUGCACCCUCUCGCUCUCUCAGUCUCUACUGGAGUUUGCUUAGUGAUCCUGCUGCCAUCAGUUCUCUCACCCCUGGUCUGAAGCAGUUUCUUCAGCAGCUGCUUUUGUGUAUUGAGAAGAACAUUUUAGAGAGUAAAGAACAGCAGCACAAAGGUAGAGCAACUGAACACGUGCAGCAAUAUGUGCCAUUGCCUCUUAAAGGACACAUCAGGCUGAGAGAGACAAGCUGAAAAGCUGACCAGCUGCAACUAAUAUUA
Lepidothrix coronata (blue-crowned manakin) is the source of this 503-nucleotide long non-coding RNA. RefSeq lists it as uncharacterized. The record is from RefSeq and is a predicted model, not a curated record. The transcript is spliced from 3 exons. NCBI's taxonomy places the organism in Eukaryota, Metazoa, Chordata, Aves, Passeriformes, Pipridae.